UCGAGUGUUACAACUCCCAAACCCUUUGUGAACCUUACCUACCGUUGCUUCGGCGGGACUGCCCCGGCGCCUCUGCGCGUCGGAACCAGGCGCCCGCCGGGGGACCGAAACUCUUGAUUGUCUUAGUGGUAUUCUCUCUGAGUGGCACAAGCAAAAUAAAAUUA
Molecule: unclassified non-coding RNA, 164 nt
Filed under: soil metagenome
Description: partial internal transcribed spacer 1
Source: RNAcentral